CGUAGGUGGCAAGCGUUGUCCGGAAUUACUGGGUGUAAAGGGCGUGUAGGCGGGAAUGUAAGUCAGAUGUGAAAUCCCAGGGCUUAACUCUGGAGCUGCAUCUGAACUAUGUUUCUUGAGUGUCGGAGAGGAAAGCGGAAUUCCUAGUGUAGCGGUGAAAUGCGUAGAUAUUAGGAGGAACACCAGUGGCGAAGGCGGCUUUCUGGACGAUAACUGACGCUGAGGCGCGAAAGCGUGGGGAGCAAACAGGAUUAGAUACCCUGGUAGUCCACGCUGUAAACGAUGGAUACUAGGUGUAGGGGGUAUCGACCCCCCCUGUGCCGCAGUUAACACAAUAAGUAUCCCACCUCGGGGAGUACGGCCGCAAGGUUG
Molecule: ribosomal RNA, 372 nt
Filed under: uncultured organism
Description: bacterial SSU rRNA
Rfam family: Bacterial small subunit ribosomal RNA
Source: RNAcentral